ACUCCUACGGGAGGCAGCAGUGGGAAUAUUGCACAAUGGGCGAAAGCCUGAUGCAGCAAUGCCGCGUGUGUGAAGAAGGCCUGCGGGUUGUAAAGCACUUUUAUCGGGAAAGAAAAACCGGCAGACUAACCCUUGGUCUUGACGGUACCCGUUGAAUAAGCACCGGCUAACUCCGUGCCAGCAGCCGCGGUAAUACGGAGGGUGCAAGCGUUAAUCGGAAUUACUGGGCGUAAAGCGAGUGUAGGCGGCGACGUAAGUCGGAUGUGAAAGCCCCGGGCUCAACCUGGGAAUGGCAUUCGAUACUGCGUGGCUCGAGUCUGAUAGAGGGAUGUGGAAUUCCGGGUGUAGCGGUGAAAUGCGUAGAUAUCCGGAGGAACACCAGUGGCGAAGGCGGCAUCCUGGAUCAAGACUGACGCUGAGGCUCGAAAGCGUGGGGAGCAAACAGGAUUACAUACCCUGGUAGGCUCUGCU
This 471-nucleotide ribosomal RNA is filed under the name uncultured bacterium. Its description in RNAcentral is "bacterial SSU rRNA". It matches the Rfam family "Bacterial small subunit ribosomal RNA", at positions 335 to 801 of the family's 1533-position model. The record is from RNAcentral.